GACUCCCACGGCGGAUGGCUGGGUCGAGAGCACAUCUUUAUUUUCUCUCUAGAUCAUUCUUCUUCCUAUUUUGAUUUGAGAAAGGGAACGUGAGAAUUAGGGCAACCAGAGUGUUUUCCCAGUAAGUGUUGAGGCAGGCGUUUGCAAGGAGCAGUAUUGGAAGCGUUUCCGGAGUUUUCCAGUGUGUUCGGGUUUCACCUGCAUGUCAGGGUUCGUCACCGUCACAGGAACCCUGGGUCAUUUUGCCAACUCAGUAGAACGGGGCUAAAAUAAGCACUGAGAACUGAACUUAGAACAGAAGAGCACUCUAAAUAGAGAGAAGAGAGGAGAUUGUUGAGGCAGAUGGAAAGCAUCACAAGAGAAGUGUGUGGCCCUCGCCUGUGGAGGUGAAGCUCCAGCAAGGCUCCAUCUUGAGUUUUUUUAAAUUUUGAGUAGUA
RNAcentral lists this unclassified non-coding RNA (437 nucleotides) under Homo sapiens (human). Its description in RNAcentral is "novel transcript (ENSG00000281806.1)". The record is from RNAcentral. Lineage: Eukaryota; Metazoa; Chordata; Mammalia; Primates; Hominidae.